AACCCAUGUUGAGGACAUUUCUGCAAGAGAUCCUUGAACAUUUCCCAUGUCUCGAAAAGAGACUCCAAUUCCAUUUGUACAAAGGAAGAUAUCUCAUUCUUGAGCUU
This is a small nucleolar RNA of Dioscorea cayenensis subsp. rotundata (Guinea yam), 107 nucleotides long. The record is from RefSeq and is a predicted model, not a curated record. Lineage: Eukaryota; Viridiplantae; Streptophyta; Magnoliopsida; Dioscoreales; Dioscoreaceae.